UACGUAGGUGGCGAGCGUUAAUCGGAAUUAUUGGGCGUAAAGAGCUCGUAGGCGGUCUGUCACGUCGGCUGUGAAAUCCCGAGGCUCAACCUCGGGUCUGCAGUCGAUACGGGCAAACUAGAGUAUUGCAGGGGAGACUGGAAUUCCUGGUGUAGCGGUGAAAUGCGCAGAUAUCAGGAGGAACACCGGUGGCGAAGGCGGGUCUCUGGGCAAUAACUGACGCUGAGGAGCGAAAGCGUGGGGAGCGAACAGG
Molecule: ribosomal RNA, 253 nt
Filed under: uncultured bacterium
Lineage: Bacteria
Description: partial 16S ribosomal RNA
Rfam family: Bacterial small subunit ribosomal RNA
Source: RNAcentral